RNAcentral lists this transfer RNA (71 nucleotides) under Eremias brenchleyi. RNAcentral describes it as "tRNA-Trp". It matches the Rfam family "tRNA". Rfam says of the family: Transfer RNA (tRNA) molecules are approximately 80 nucleotides in length. Their secondary structure includes four short double-helical elements and three loops (D, anti-codon, and T loops). The record is from RNAcentral. Lineage: Eukaryota; Metazoa; Chordata; Lepidosauria; Squamata; Lacertidae.
AGAAACUUAGGUUCAAUUAACAAACCAGAGGCCUUCAAAGCCUCAGACAGGGCUUAUUACCCUAGUUUCUG